RNAcentral lists this long non-coding RNA (1988 nucleotides) under Monodelphis domestica (gray short-tailed opossum). Its description in RNAcentral is "lncRNA (ENSMODG00000044531.1)". The record is from RNAcentral. Lineage: Eukaryota; Metazoa; Chordata; Mammalia; Didelphimorphia; Didelphidae.
ACCUGCAAAUAACACUAAGAAGUAGAACAAGGAUCAAAGAAUAAUGUCAUCUGAGGUAGAAAAAAAAACAAGCUCAGGGAUAUGUGUGAGGGGGUAGAUCCUACAGUGGUUUCUUUCAGGAUCCUGAAUGUCCCAGGGUCUGCUGGGAUAGAGUAUGCAGAGAGACAGAGUUCUGGUCACCUAUGAAGGUAUAACAUUUGGAGGAGCAGCUGCUGUGGAGAUAGAGGAAAUAACCAGAUGUUUAAAGUAACAAGGAAGGGUUCACUUCAUUCUAACCAAAGCAUGGCAAAGCUUAUGUCAUUUUAGAAGUAUGAUUGCCCAGGAGGGGUGGCUUUUUGAGCUUUUGCUACUCUGUGAAGUAACUAUGGAGAUACCUCGUGAUUUCAAGAAUCUACUUUCACCAAUGACAAUGGGGACACAGAUUUGUUUGUUUUCUUCAGUUUAUUCCUUCUAUGAUUCCUCCCAUUCAUAAUGGGAGGAAUAAAAUAUAACCUUGGUGGCCCACAUAUUCAUCUGAGUAAUAUUGACCUUGUGUCUAGCCUUUGUGAAUUGCAUCAUCCCUGUUGUGCUUGUUACCAUCACAAUUCCCAUUGUGUUGGACAGCUUUGGGAUUGGUUGGUCUUUGUUGUCAUGGUUAUAUUUGAGAUCCUGAGCUGGGCAGUUUUCAGCCUGACACAUUGUCAUAUUGAAGAAUAUUGCAUUCAGGCUUCAGAAACCCCCUUUUAAAUAACUUAGUGUUUAGAUGUAGAAACAACAACUCUUCUAAGAAGCUAAAUAAAAGGGAUGAAGAAAUAAAGUAUGCUGAACCAAUGGAUCUGGCCAAUUUGUUUGACACCAUUUCUUCUAUGGUUAUGGCCUGCUAUGCCUUUGGAUACAUGGAUGUGUUCUAUUGGGGGGCUUUAUGGGUCGUAACUACCUCCGUUGGCCAGCUCCUCUUCUCUUAUCAUCACUAUUUGAACAAUGAUGCUUAUCGUACCACCAAAUUUGGCUUCCAUAGUCUCUUUUGGCAGAAACAAGCUUGGGAACAAUUCAUGAUAACAGUAAUCAUCAGGUCAAAAAAUGUGGAUGAGACCAGGGAAGGAAUUAUUGGGGAUUUCUUUUGCUGUAUUAUUGCCAGUAUUUUGGUCCUGACGUCCCUCAGUAUAAGCCUCUUAGAAUUGAUUCAGAAUGUUUUCUUUGCUCUUCUUACUAUCCACACCAUUCAUCAAUUAUCUACUAAGGAAGAUGAAAAAAAUAACUUUUGCUUUGGGAGUAUCUGUUUCCUUUAUGCUCUUAUUUCCCUGUAUGCUACUUGUGCUAGUGUAGUGAAUUCAGAAGAGAAAAAAAAAAUGAUGCCCACUGGGGCCUACGUCAUUUCAAAAUACAAAUUUCUGGAGAUCCUUUGUCCUUUUAAAAACCUCAUUCAGCUUAUUCGAUCAAAUGGAUUCCCAGAAAUCAACAGCUCCCUUAUUUUGAAUACCUUAUUGUAUGUCUGCAAUGGCCUGACUGCCCUCUCAGCUAUCCAGGGCACGUUGAUUAAUUCCUCUAACCAUUCUGGCAGAAUCCCUUCUGUCAUGACUCCAGGAGCCGUGUUUCAGAUAUAUGUGUGCAAUACCCAGGCCCAAAAAGGGGGAAGGUUUUCAACACUCCUGCCAUUCUGUUAUGCUGCUACCUGGGCAACCUGGACUUGGCUUCAAUUUUCAAGGUCUUUCAAUGAUUCUGAAAGCACUAAGGGCAUCUCACUAGGGACUUUGAUCUUCCUGAUAAUCAAUGUCUUCUUCCUCAUAUUAGAUUCUGAUGUAAAUAUAAUCCUGGUGCUAUUGACUCUUUGCAUGGAAAUACUGAGUAUCAGUUUCUUUUUGAUUACUUGUGAACGGUUGCCUCUUCCAUUGGAGGUCACUAUGUUGGCUAUUCUUUGUGCUGUUUCCAUCUAUAUGACUGUAGCUUCUUUCACCAUAAAUUCAACUGGCCUAAGUCUUCCUUUCCUGAAUAUUCUGUGCCCAAUGUAA